Molecule: long non-coding RNA, 4308 nt
Organism: Mirounga angustirostris (Northern elephant seal)
Lineage: Eukaryota; Metazoa; Chordata; Mammalia; Carnivora; Phocidae
Exons: 4
Source: RefSeq, a predicted model, not a curated record
AGAUGUCCUUGCAGCAGUGACGCAAGCCAUUAAGGGUACGGCAGCUAAGAGAUAGCCUGAGACCAGAUCAGCUGACACCCCAGAACUGAUAACAGGCAGAAGUACAGUGGGUCUGCGGGGGUCCGGGACUGCUGAAAUCCCUCUAAAAAGGGAGGAGUUUGGCAGCACACGGUCAGACCCCUCAGACAUGACCCCUCUAGGUCUGACCACUUAAAAAAAGCAGCUGCCACCAAAGGUUCCGCCGGAUUGAGCAGGUGCCCAGGACUGACCCAGGCGCCACCCAAGUCUUAUCUCCCCUGCGUGCCCACAGACUGACUUCACGUUUGGUUCAUUAACUUCCUACCCACUCUGUUAUCUUGUGGACUGUGUGACUUGUCUCGUGUUCUGCUUUGCGGGCCAGUAAGAAGCCAAGUCAAUCACGUCUUCCAAUGCCACUGACUUUGGAAUCCUGAACCUGCUUUAUAAUGAUGUUAAUCUUGCUUUAUGCCUGAAUAAAGCUGACCUCAUGGAAGGACACAACUCGUGUCUUUCCUAGGUGCUGGUGACAACGAGCUUGUGGCUGGGAAGAUAGGAAGGGGCUGCUUUUUGCACUGGACCCCCUGUUUGAGUAGAUGCCCGCCGCUAGGUGGGAUCACACGCCCACCUCGCUGGGCUGCCGGGUCUGCAGAGCCGGCCCUCGGAGGCGCUGAGCAGGUCGGGGUCCCUAACGUGAGGCUGGGGAGGCCGGCGAGGACCCGCGGAGCAGGUGGCGGGGGUGGAGGGAAGGACGCCGGCUCUGCGGGGACGCGGCCGCCUGCGCGACCUGGGGGCCCCGGGGAGUCGCCGCCUCCGCCGCCGCGGCGGCCCGGAUUUCUCCCCAGGGGAGGGAGCCGGAGCACCUGAACCGUGACUCAGCGAGAGCGGCCCUCGGACCGUGACUCAGCGAAAACAGACCUCGGGACCGUGACUCAGCGAAAACAGACCUCGGGACCGUGACUCAGCGACAACAGACCUGAGAUCGGGACUCCGCGCCGAGCCUGCCGGCGUGACUCAACAGGAAAGGGCGGCAGGGGUGCGGGGCAGAGGGUUCCUCAGCGGGAGGCCGUCCGCGCCCGACCCCUGCCCCCAGCGCCCGCCGAGCUCAGCAGCCACCAGCGCCCGCGGGGCCGGGCCUCGGGGAGCGCGGGAGUGGCAGGUACGCGGGCUACCUGAGCAGGUGACCUGGCGCAGGUAACUCAGCCCGUCCCAGCGUCGUGGGCAGCGUGGGGACGGCUGCGGCGGCCUGGGGGGGUCCUCGGCCCCGUUGAGUGAUCCCACCACUUCCUUCUGCCCAGCUCAGCCAACGCUUGGCUGCCUCAGUGUCCCCAUCUUCAAACUGAGGGGCAGAGAGAAGCUCCCUUCCCCGGACGGCAUUCCGUGGGUGUAUGUUUAUACUUUAAAUAAUCCAUUUUUAUCCCCUAGUUAGAAGACGCUGCCCGGCCACUGUACUGCACUGAAGUCUAUGAUCCCCAACCUGCAGACCACUGUUGCUAACGUUCUCGUGUAUUUGUUAGGAUUAAAAAAAUAACCAACUCUAUCAUGCCCACAAAGGAGUAUAUUCUACAGUAUGAUUCUGUGCAAGGAACAGUGAUAAGGGGAACAUAGCUUAUGAAGUAGCUCUUUCUCUUUUUUCUGUGCAAAUUCUAUAUGAUUGUGAUCCUAAUGUCUAUGGUAUACCUUUGUCUUCCUUUGUUUCAUUAACACAACUGUUUUCCCAAAUUGUAACAGGGCCCUUGUAAGCAUUAUCUCAAAGGCCUCACAAAAAUCCAUUCAGGAGACAUUCAUUCAUUCAACACGGUAUCCCGCCCGAGUGCCUGGGGCCUACUGUUAAACCUUUGGGUUGCUUCCUAUUUAUUUUUUUCCUAUUGAAGGAGAAAGAUAAGGAGUAUUUAAAACAGUCUCUGGCUUUCACAUACUAGGGGAAGGGCGUUUUUCAUAUCAGAGAAUUGUCUUUUUUUAUUUUUGAACAUACGUUGCUUGCUUUCCCCUGCUCCCCAAGAUCUGGAUGGAAAGGUUAAAAACAAAGGAGGAAGAAGGGUGGGCUAUGAGGGACUUCUGAGACCAGGGCCUUCAACAGAUGCUGGAAAGCAGGGAACACCAAGAACUUGGGGGUACCAUGGAAGCACACACUGGGUUACAAAUCGUGUAAAGAACAGCAAAAGGAACAUCUUCAGUAAAUACGACUUUUGCCACUGGGGCUCAGAGUCGGGGCAGUUUGCUUUUGUUUGAGUGACAGCCGGGAGGAAGGACCACCCCAGCACUCUGCGGGAUGAUGUGCUGUUUGGCUGCAAGUGAAGGCAGCGAGGGGUCUGGGACUCACCCCCUAAGGUGCCUGCAGCAGCCCCCUCCUGCCCGGAGCUCAGCCUCAGUGCUCCGAUUUCCUGAAAAGCCCUCUUUAUGCCCCUAUGGAGUUUGGGGUGAAGCUCCAGGGAGCCUGAGGGUCUGUUAUAGGCAGAACUGUGUCCCUCCCCAAAUUCACCUGUGGAAGCCCUAACCCCCAGUACCUUUCAACGUGAUUGUAUUUGGAGAUGAGCCUUUACAGAGGGGAUGAAGUUAAAACCAUGCUCUUCGGUUGGGCCCCGAUCCGGUCGAACGGGUGUCCUUCUAGAAGAAAGACACCCGGGCGCAUGCACAGGGGGAGGACCUGUGAGGACACGCCAGGAAAGCUGUUGGCAAGCCAAGCAGAGGCCUCGGAAGAAACCACACCUGCUGACAUCUAGACCUUCGGCCUUCAGAAGUGUGAGAAGAUGAGCUUGUGAUCGUCUGAGCCACCCAGUCUGUGGCGUGGGGUCACGGCCCGUGGCUGGCACACGGACACUGGGCCCGAGACUCAAGACCGGAAGGACCCCUGAAAGAGCAGCCUCGUUCAACUUCUCCUUCCUCUCCUCUUCUCUCUCCCUUUUUAUUUUGAAAAAAUGCCAGACCUACUAAAAGGCUCAGGACGCAAACGGGACACUGCAUGCCGGUACACCCUUCCCUGGGAUCAUGCCUUGUCGGGAAUUGGCUCUUUUUGUGUGUCUCUCUCCUUUUCUCUCUCUCUCUCUUUUUUUUAAGAUUUUAUUUAUUUGACAGAGAGAGAGACACAGCGAGAGAGGGAACACGAGGGGGAGUGGGAGAGGGAGAAGCAGGCUUCCCGCAGAGCAGGGAGCCCGAUGCGGGGCUCGAUCCCAGGACCCUGGGACUGUGACCUGAGCCAAAGGCAGAUGCUUAAUGACUGAGCCACCCAGGGGCCCCUCUCCUUUUCUCUUUUAUUAUUAUUUUUCCAGAACCAUCUGAGAGUACGUUGUGGACAUCCUGACACUUCACCUGUAGGAACAAGGACACAUCCGCAUUGUUAUCAUCACAGUAAAGACAUAAGGCUGACGCCUUAACGUCCUUUACUUUACUGUCACACUUUCCCAGGGAUCCCCCAAAAACAGUCCAUUGGAGGACCCCCAGAAUCUAAUCAAGGUUCAUGCCCUCCUUUUUGCUGUCAUGUCUUAGGUCUCUCGUGGCAUUGACUCUGGAAGAAUUGUUUGGAAGAGACAGGUUAGUUGCCUUGAAAAUGUCCCAUGUUUUGGAUUUGUCUUUUUCCCUCACGGUGAGAUUCUGGUGGAACAUUCCUGGACAGAGUCCUAUAUGGUCAUGUUGCGUCUCCUCAUCGGGUGGAACCAAGGAAACUGAAACCCAGCUAGUUGGUGGCAGAGUUUAGAUGCAUUUCAGUACCAGAUUAUUAUUAUUUUUUAAAGAUUUUACUCAUUUAUUUGAGAGAGAGAGAGAGCGCAAGCGGGGUGGGGAGGGGCACAGGGAGAGGGAGAAGCAGACUCCCUGCUGAGCAGGGAGCCCAAAUGACACAGGGCUCAAUCCCAGGACCCUGAGAUCAUGACCACAGCGGAGGGCAGAGGCUUAAUGGACUGAGCCACCCAGGCGCGCCUUCAGUACCAGAUUUUUUAUUUGCCUUUAUCAAGCCUGUGACUGAUUGUGUAGAACAGGAAAAGCGCCUUUGUGUCAAGUGGGGGGUGUUCAUUAAACAAAGGAAAACAGAAUCUAUUAAUAUAAGCAAUGCUGUUCUUCCUUGUAAAGCCUGGUGGUUAAACACACACGUAGGACACAGCUUUGAAUCUCAUUUGUAAUAAGCCAUGUGACCUGAAUAAGUCUUAACGUCUCUGGGCCUCGGUUUUCUUAUCUGUGAAAUGGGGAUAAUAAUGGUACCUACCUCCCAGGCUUGUGGGACAUGAAAUUAUCCAUGUCAAAUACUUAGCGUGGUGCCUGGCUUGUAAUUAAUUGCCCAAUAAAAAGUAAUUAUUCUCA